GACGAACGCUGGCGGCGUGCCUAAUACAUGCAAGUUGAGCGCUGAAGGUUGGUACUUGUACCAACUGGAUGAGCAGCGAACGGGUGAGUAACGCGUGGGGAAUCUGCCUUUGAGCGGGGGACAACAUUUGGAAACGAAUGCUAAUACCGCAUAAAAACUUUAAACACAAGUUUUAAGAUUGAAAGAUGCAAUUGCAUCACUCAAAGAUGAUCCCGCGUUGUAUUAGCUAGUUGGUGAGGUAAAGGCUCACCAAGGCGAUGAUACAUAGCCGACCUGGGAGGGUGAUCGGCCACAUUGGGACUGAGACACGGCCCAAACUCCUACGGGAGGCAGCAGUAGGGAAUCUUCGGCAAUGGACGAAAGUCUGACCGAGCGACGCCGCGUGAGUGAAGAAGGUUUUCGGAUCGUAAAACUCUGUUGGUAGAGAAGAACGUUGGUGAGAGUGGAAAGCUCAUCAAGUGACGGUAACUACACAGAAAGGGACGGCUAACUACGUG
Molecule: ribosomal RNA, 497 nt
Filed under: uncultured bacterium
Lineage: Bacteria
Description: partial 16S ribosomal RNA
Rfam family: Bacterial small subunit ribosomal RNA
Source: RNAcentral